Non-coding RNA from Camellia sinensis, 277 nucleotides. Lineage: Eukaryota; Viridiplantae; Streptophyta; Magnoliopsida; Ericales; Theaceae. The record is from RefSeq and is a predicted model, not a curated record.
GAUGACUUCAUGAGGUGCCACCUCAGCAAUUGGGACAACACACUCAUUGACAUUCAACAAAAAACCAAAGAGAUGGCAUUUUUGUCAUCGCUUAACCAAAUUGCAAGUAUUGAAUGGGAGUCAAUGUCUGGGGAAUUCAUGCCUGAAUUCUUUAAGCUGGUGUUGGGAACCCUUUCUCUGCCUAUCAACUUUCCCGGAACAAAUUACCACCGCGGUUUCCAAGCAAGAAAACAUUGUUAGCAUGCUGAGACAACUCGUAGAGGAAAAGAAGAGCUUG